This 76-nucleotide transfer RNA is filed under the name Clostridioides difficile. RNAcentral describes it as "tRNA-Met". It matches the Rfam family "tRNA". Rfam says of the family: Transfer RNA (tRNA) molecules are approximately 80 nucleotides in length. Their secondary structure includes four short double-helical elements and three loops (D, anti-codon, and T loops). RNAcentral also lists the same sequence under 3 other names. Lineage: Bacteria; Bacillati; Bacillota; Clostridia; Peptostreptococcales; Peptostreptococcaceae. The record is from RNAcentral.
CGCGGGGUGGAGCAGUUGGCAGCUCGUUGGGCUCAUAACCCAAAGGUCGUAGGUUCAAGUCCUACCCCCGCAACCA